Molecule: ribosomal RNA, 664 nt
Filed under: Staphylococcus aureus
Lineage: Bacteria; Bacillati; Bacillota; Bacilli; Caryophanales; Staphylococcaceae
Description: partial 23S ribosomal RNA
Rfam family: Bacterial large subunit ribosomal RNA
Source: RNAcentral
AAUACAUAGCAUAUCAGAAGGCACACCCGGAGAACUGAAACAUCUUAGUACCCGGAGGAAGAGAAAGAAAAUUCGAUUCCCUUAGUAGCGGCGAGCGAAACGGGAAGAGCCCAAACCAACAAGCUUGCUUGUUGGGGUUGUAGGACACUCUAUACGGAGUUACAAAGGACGACAUUAGACGAAUCAUCUGGAAAGAUGAAUCAAAGAAGGUAAUAAUCCUGUAGUCGAAAAUGUUGUCUCUCUUGAGUGGAUCCUGAGUACGACGGAGCACGUGAAAUUCCGUCGGAAUCUGGGAGGACCAUCUCCUAAGGCUAAAUACUCUCUAGUGACCGAUAGUGAACCAGUACCGUGAGGGAAAGGUGAAAAGCACCCCGGAAGGGGAGUGAAAUAGAACCUGAAACCGUGUGCUUACAAGUAGUCAGAGCCCGUUAAUGGGUGAUGGCGUGCCUUUUGUAGAAUGAACCGGCGAGUUACGAUUUGAUGCAAGGUUAAGCAGUAAAUGUGGAGCCGUAGCGAAAGCGAGUCUGAAUAGGGCGUUUAGUAUUUGGUCGUAGACCCGAAACCAGGUGAUCUACCCUUGGUCAGGUUGAAGUUUAGGUAACACUGAAUGGAGGACCGAACCGACUUACGUUGAAAAGUGAGCGGAUGAACUGAGGGUAGCGGA